Molecule: ribosomal RNA, 253 nt
Filed under: uncultured bacterium
Lineage: Bacteria
Description: partial 16S ribosomal RNA
Rfam family: Bacterial small subunit ribosomal RNA
Source: RNAcentral
GACAGAGGGUGCAAACGUUGUUCGGAAUUACUGGGCGUAAAGCGUGUGUAGGCUGCUCCGAUAGUCGGAUGUGAAAGCCCUGGGCUCAACCUAGGAAGUGCAUUCGAUACUCCGGAGCUCGAGUCCUGGAGAGGAAGGCGGAAUUCUCGGUGUAGAGGUGAAAUUCGUAGAUAUCGAGAGGAACACCGGUGGCGAAGGCGGGUCUCUGGGCCGAAAUUGACGCUGAGGAGCGAAAGCGUGGGGAGCAAACAGG